ACUCUAAGCGGUGGAUCACUCGGCUCAUGGGUCGAUGAAGAACGCAGCAAAACUGUGCGUCAUCGUGUGAACUGCAGGACACAUGAACAUCGACAUUUUGAACGCAUAUCGCAGUCCAUGCUGUUAUGUACUUUAAUUAAUUUUAUAGUGCUGCUUGGACUACAUAUGGUUGAGGGUUGUAAGACUAUGCUAAUUAAGUUGCUUAUUAAAUUUUUAUAAGCAUAUGGUAUAUUAUUGGAUAAAUAUAAUAAUUUUUAUUCAUAAUAUUAAAAAAUAAAUGAAAAACAUUAUCUCACAUUUGAAUGUGAAAAACGAAGAGAAAUAUUUUCUUUUUCAAUCAAAUAAUACUGAGAAAUGUCUAGCAUAAAAAAUUGAAAUAUUUUUCAUCUAGAAUUGUCUCUUAUUAAUGAUUCGGAAAUAGAAAAAAUCUUGGUUAUGUUAUUAUUCUUCGUUGGUUCGUUAAAAAUGGAAUAAAUAAAAACUUUGCAUACAAGAAUUAAUAAAAAAUGUUAUAACGAAUUUAAUUAAAUGUUUUAUCAUUAUAUAUAAAGAAUUUAUGGCAAGAUACAACCUCAACUCAUAUGGGACUACCCCCUGAAUUUAAGCAUAUUAAUUAGGGAGGAAAAAGAAACUAACAAGGAUUUUCUUAGUUAGCCGGCGAGCGAAAAGAAAACAGUUCAGCACUAAGUCACUUUGUCUAUUAUGGCAAAUGUGAGAUGCAGUGUAUGGAGCGUCAAUAUUCUAGUAUGAGAAAUUAACGAUUUAAGUCCUUCUUAAAUGAGGCCAUUUACCAUAGAGGGUGCCAGGCCCGUAUAACGUUAAUGAUUACUAGAUGAUGUUUCCAAAGAGUCGUGUUGCUUGAUAGUGCAGCACUAAGUGGGUGGUAAACUCCAUCUAAAACUAAAUAUAACCAUGAGACCGAUAGUAAACAAGUACCGUGAGGGAAAGUUGAAAAGAACUCUGAAUAGAGAGUUUAAACAGUACGUGAAACUGCUUAGAGGUUAAGCCCGAUGAACCUGAAUAUCCGUUAUGGAAAAUUCAUCAUUAAAAUUGUAAUAUUUAAAUAAUAUUAUGAGAAUAGUGUGCAUUUUUUCAUAUAAGGACAUUGUAAUCUAUUAGCAUAUACCAAAUUUAUCAUAAAAUAUAACUUAUAGUUUAUUCCAAUUAAAUUGCUUGCAUUUUAACACAGAAUAAAAUGUUAUUAAUUUGAUAAAGUGCUGAUAGAUUUAUAUGAUUACAGUGCGUUAAUUUUUUCGGAAUUAUAUAAUGGCAUAAUUAUCAUUGAUUUUUGUGUUUAUUAUAUGCACUUGUAUGAUUAAACAAUGCGAAAGAUUCAGGAUACUUCGGGACCCGUCUUGAAACACGGACCAAGGAGUCUAACAUAUGUGCAAGUUAUUGGGAUAUAAACCUAAUAGCGUAAUUAACUUGACUAAUAAUGGGAUUAGUUUUUUUAGCUAUUUAUAGCUAAUUAACACAAUCCCGGGGCGUUCUAUAUAGUUAUGUAUAAUGUAUAUUUAUAUUAUUUAUGCCUCUAACUGGAACGUACCUUGAGCAUAUAUGCUGUGACCCGAAAGAUGGUGAACUAUACUUGAUCAGGUUGAAGUCAGGGGAAACCCUGAUGGAAGACCGAAAACAGUUCUGACGUGCAAAUCGAUUGUCAGAAUUGAGUAUAGGGGCGAAAGACCAAUCGAACCAUCUAGUAGCUGGUUCCUUCCGAAGUUUCCCUCAGGAUAGCUGGUGCAUUUUAAUAUUAUAUAAAAUAAUCUUAUCUGGUAAAGCGAAUGAUUAGAGGCCUUAGGGUCGAAACGAUCUUAACCUAUUCUCAAACUUUAAAUGGGUAAGAACCUUAACUUUCUUGAUAUGAAGUUCAAGGUUAUGAUAUAAUGUGCCCAGUGGGCCACUUUUGGUAAGCAGAACUGGCGCUGUGGGAUGAACCAAACGUAAUGUUACGGUGCCCAAAAUUAACAACUCAUGCAGAUACCAUGAAAGGCGUUGGUUGCUUAAAACAGCAGGACGGUGAUCAUGGAAGUCGAAAUCCGCUAAGGAGUGUGUAACAACUCACCUGCCGAAGCAACUAGCCUUAAAAUGGAUGGCGCUUAAGUUGUAUACCUAUACAUUACGCUAAAGUAGAUGAUUUAUAUUACUUGUGAUAUAAAUUUUGAAACUUUAGUGAGUAGGAAGGUACAAUGGUAUGCGUAGAAGUGUUUGGCGUAAGCCUGCAUGGAGCUGCCAUUGGUACAGAUCUUGGUGGUAGUAGCAAAUAAUCGAAUGAGACCUUGGAGGACUGAAGUGGAGAAGGGUUUCGUGUGAACAGUGGUUGAUCACGAGUUAGUCGGUCCUAAGUUCAAGGCGAAAGCCGAAAAUUUUCAAGUAAAACAAAAAAUGCCUAACUAUAUAAACAAAGCGAAUUAUAAUACACUUGAAUAAUUUUGAACGAAAGGGAAUACGGUUCCAAUUCCGUAACCUGUUGAGUAUCCGUUUGUUAUUAAAUAUGGGCCUCGUGCUCAUCCUGGCAACAGGAACGACCAUAAAGAAGCCGUCGAGAGAUAUCGGAAGAGUUUUCUUUUCUGUUUUAUAGCCGUACUACCAUGGAAGUCUUUCGCAGAGAGAUAUGGUAGAUGGGCUAGAAGAGCAUGACAUAUACUGUUGUGUCGAUAUUUUCUCCUCGGACCUUGAAAAUUUAUGGUGGGGACACGCAAACUUCUCAACAGGCCGUACCAAUAUCCGCAGCUGGUCUCCAAGGUGAAGAGUCUCUAGUCGAUAGAAUAAUGUAGGUAAGGGAAGUCGGCAAAUUAGAUCCGUAACUUCGGGAUAAGGAUUGGCUCUGAAGAUUGAGAUAGUCGGGCUUGAUUGGGAAACAAUAACAUGGUUUAUGUGCUCGUUCUGGGUAAAUAGAGUUUCUAGCAUUUAUGUUAGUUACUUGUUCCCCGGAUAGUUUAGUUACGUAGCCAAUUGUGGAACUUUCUUGCUAAAAUUUUUAAGAAUACUAUUUGGGUUAAACCAAUUAGUUCUUAUUAAUUAUAACGAUUAUCAAUUAACAAUCAAUUCAGAACUGGCACGGACUUGGGGAAUCCGACUGUCUAAUUAAAACAAAGCAUUGUGAUGGCCCUAGCGGGUGUUGACACAAUGUGAUUUCUGCCCAGUGCUCUGAAUGUCAAAGUGAAGAAAUUCAAUAAGCGAGAAGAAAGAAGACAGAGGAGGCGAAUUAUAAGGAGAAAAUAGAGCAGAUAAGAGGGCAAUCAGCUCUCGCCCCGGAAGUUGCUAAUCUAACCAUAAGGCGCCGCCCUAGUAGAAGUGAGCAAGACCACCAAGUAACAACAUCGGAAACAACUCCAAUCACUCCCUUCGAACAGUCGAACAGGGAAAUUUUGCGGACACUACGCGGGUA
RNAcentral lists this ribosomal RNA (3388 nucleotides) under Drosophila melanogaster (fruit fly). RNAcentral's name for it is "eukaryotic LSU rRNA". The stretch from base 568 to 3388 matches the Rfam family "Eukaryotic large subunit ribosomal RNA", at positions 1 to 2248 of the family's 3401-position model. Lineage: Eukaryota; Metazoa; Arthropoda; Insecta; Diptera; Drosophilidae. The record is from RNAcentral.